This 441-nucleotide unclassified non-coding RNA is filed under the name Hevea brasiliensis (rubber tree). The record is from RNAcentral. Lineage: Eukaryota; Viridiplantae; Streptophyta; Magnoliopsida; Malpighiales; Euphorbiaceae.
GCGACGAAAAAGGCGGCAUCGCAUUUAUAUCUACUCCUUUACUCUAUGCAUUAGUAAUAGUUGUGGUACAAUGUAAUAUUACUAGGACAUGUCAAUAUGCUGGUCCAACUCACUGUCCUCCAUUAAUACACUCUCUUUGAUCUCCUGUAACAUUUUCAACACCUGCCACAUAGUGGGCCUCUGCUCCGGCGAGGUCAAGCUACAAGCUAUAGCUACUUCAAGAAGCAUCUCCAGCCUAUUGUCUUCUCCGCCAUCAUCAUCCCUCGUGGACCUAACCCAAUUCACCAUUUCAUUCGGCGCUAAAAAAGGGAGCUGGGAUGGAGGCUUCCCUGUUAAAAGCUCAAGCAACAGAACUCCAAAUGAAAACACAUCAGAUUUAGAGGUCGGUUGGUGAUUUGAAUUGCAAAUUUCUGGAGCUUUGUACGCCGUGGCCGCCGGGUC